AUUACCCAGGGACACACGGUUGCCUAGAGGAAAGAGGCAAGGAAAUUUUACAGAAGGCUUUGACUCUUAAAAUCCAUGUCCAACCCCAGCCCUUUGGUGUCUGCGAGGUGACUUCACUGCACAGGUCUGGCUGGGAAACCUUCUGGCCCAGUGGCACGGCGCGACUUGGCCUCUGAGAAAAUGGAAAAAUGCUAAGCAGGAGCUUCAGAAACAACUUCCUCCGGCAAACGCAAUCUGUCUGCCUAACCUCUCCAGCCGGGCAGUGAGAUGGCCUAAAGUCACAGGUACCGGGAAACAGUGUGUGCUGCCAAUCAUUUCGCCAGGAGGAACUUGGUUAUCCAGAAGUCGGGGAGCAGGGAAGAGCAG
Molecule: long non-coding RNA, 366 nt
Filed under: Cavia porcellus (domestic guinea pig)
Lineage: Eukaryota; Metazoa; Chordata; Mammalia; Rodentia; Caviidae
Description: lncRNA (ENSCPOG00000037416.1)
Source: RNAcentral